This 910-nucleotide ribosomal RNA is filed under the name Fructilactobacillus sanfranciscensis. RNAcentral's name for it is "bacterial SSU rRNA". It matches the Rfam family "Bacterial small subunit ribosomal RNA", at positions 378 to 1281 of the family's 1533-position model. The record is from RNAcentral. Lineage: Bacteria; Bacillati; Bacillota; Bacilli; Lactobacillales; Lactobacillaceae.
UAAGUCUGAUGGAGCACGCCGCGUGAGUGAAGAAGGGUUUCGGCUCGUAAAACUCUGUUGUUAGAGAAGAACAGCCGUGAGAGCAACUGCUCACGGUAUGACGGUAUCUAACCAGAAAGUCACGGCUAACUACGUGCCAGCAGCCGCGGUAAUACGUAGGUGGCAAACGUUGUCCGGAUUUAUUGGGCGUAAAGGGAGCGCAGGCGGUUUAUUAAGUCUGAUGUGAAAGCCUUCGGCUUAACCGGAGAAGUGCAUCGGAAACUGAUAAACUUGAGUGCAGAAAAGGAUAGUGGAACUUCAUGUGUAGCGGUGAAAUGCGUAGAUAUAUGAAGGAACACCAGUGGCGAAGGCGGCUAUCUGGUCUGUAACUGACGCUGAGGCUCGAAAGCAUGGGUAGCAAACAGGAUUAGAUACCCUGGUAGUCCAUGCCGUAAACGAUGAAUGCUAGGUGUUGGAAGGUUUCCGCCUUUCAGUGCCGCAGCUAACGCAUUAAGCAUUCCGCCUGGGGAGUACGACCGCAAGGUUGAAACUCAAAGGAAUUGACGGGGACCCGCACAAGCGGUGGAGCAUGUGGUUUAAUUCGAUGCUACGCGAAGAACCUUACCAGGACUUGACAUCUUCUGCCAAUCUAAGAGAUUAGACGUUCCCUUCGGGGACAGAAUGACAGGUGGUGCAUGGUUGUCGUCAGCUCGUGUCGUGAGAUGUUGGGUUAAGUCCCGCAACGAGCGCAACCCUUGUCUUUAGUUGCCAGCAUUAAGUUGGGCACUCUAGAGAGACUGCCCGGUGAUAAACCGGAGGAAGGUGGGGAUGACGUCAAAUCAUCAUGCCCCUUAUGUCCUGGGCUACACACGUGCUACAAUGGGCGAUACAACGAGUUGCGAAACCGCGAGGUCAAGCUAAUCUCUUAAGG